This is an unclassified non-coding RNA of Microcebus murinus (gray mouse lemur), 94 nucleotides long. It matches the Rfam family "Y RNA". Rfam says of the family: Y RNAs are components of the Ro ribonucleoprotein particle (Ro RNP), in association with Ro60 and La proteins. The Y RNAs and Ro60 and La proteins are well conserved, but the function of the Ro RNP is not known. Lineage: Eukaryota; Metazoa; Chordata; Mammalia; Primates; Cheirogaleidae. The record is from Ensembl.
GGAUAGAAAAGUGGUGUUCACAACAAAUGGAUCACAACCAGUUACAAAUUUCUUUGUUACCUCUCCACUCCCAUUGCCUCAUGAAUAGCCAAAU